UUUGACUGAUUUACUAUAGAACAAAUAGUACGAACAUUCACCGGUCCGAGUCCUAGAUAAGAAAUAAGAAAAAUUGGAAUUGGUUGAUGGAUAUGGAUGAAACUUUGCAUCAGUGAUGUGUUUAUGAAAAGAAGUCAGGAAAAUAAAGGAUAACUGACAGACCGUGCAGUUACCAAAGCCUGGGUUUAAGUACAGGACCUUACCUUAUCACGGUAAAGAUCUAUGGAAGGACUCCUUCAGCUCAGUUUGGCAGCAGCUUUGUCAGGACACAUUGAGAAGGAACUCAUUUGUUGGUGGAAGGAUUAAAGAUGUACUACCCACCAGCUGUGAGGAGUUUUUAAAGAGGUGAAUUUAAACAGUGUUACAACAGAAUGAAGAUUUCUGAAAAAAGUAGAUGGCUAACCUAUUAUAUUUUGGGCCUCAUUGGACUUAGAUAGUGUUAA
Molecule: long non-coding RNA, 443 nt
Organism: Ruditapes philippinarum (Manila clam)
Lineage: Eukaryota; Metazoa; Mollusca; Bivalvia; Venerida; Veneridae
Exons: 3
Source: RefSeq, a predicted model, not a curated record